RNAcentral lists this ribosomal RNA (163 nucleotides) under Fagraea sp. 1 SM-2012. RNAcentral describes it as "5.8S ribosomal RNA". It matches the Rfam family "5.8S ribosomal RNA". From Rfam's summary of the family: 5.8S ribosomal RNA (5.8S rRNA) is a component of the large subunit of the eukaryotic ribosome. The record is from RNAcentral. Lineage: Eukaryota; Viridiplantae; Streptophyta; Magnoliopsida; Gentianales; Gentianaceae.
AAAACGACUCUCGGCAACGGAUAUCUCGGCUCUCGCAUCGAUGAAGAACGUAGCGAACUGCGAUACUUGGUGUGAAUUGCAGAAUCCCGUGAACCAUCGAGUCUUUGAACGCAAGUUGCGCCCGAAGCCAUCCGGCCAGGGCACGUCUGCCUGGGCGUCACGC